CUACAGUGGAACAGUACAAACAUCUCUCUCCUCUAUCUUCAUUCCUCUCUUGCUGUCUUUCUACCUCUCUCUUUCCACACAGAUUUGUCCUUUGAGAAUCAAACAUGUGAAGGACGAACGUGUGUGGAAAGAGCGAGACGUAAAGGGACAGCAAGACAGAGAAAUGAAGAUGGAGUAGAGAGAUGUUUGUACUGUACCACCGUA
RNAcentral lists this microRNA precursor (204 nucleotides) under Prunus dulcis (almond). Its description in RNAcentral is "sRNA ncRNA". Lineage: Eukaryota; Viridiplantae; Streptophyta; Magnoliopsida; Rosales; Rosaceae. The record is from RNAcentral.